UACGUAGGCAGCAAGCGUUGUUCGGAGUUACUGGGCGUAAAGCGUACGCAGGCGGACCGUUAAGUCGGGUGUGAAAGCCCGGGGCUCAACCCCGGAACUGCAUUCGAUACUGGCGGUCUUGAAUACGGGAGAGGUGAGUGGAAUUCCUGGUGUAGAGGUGAAAUUCGUAGAUAUCAGGAGGAACACCGGUGGCGAAAGCGGCUCACUGGCCCGAUAUUGACGCUCAUGUACGAAAGCGUGGGGAGCAAACAGG
RNAcentral lists this ribosomal RNA (253 nucleotides) under uncultured bacterium. RNAcentral describes it as "partial 16S ribosomal RNA". It matches the Rfam family "Bacterial small subunit ribosomal RNA", at positions 524 to 776 of the family's 1533-position model. The record is from RNAcentral.